AUUGAACGCUGGCGGCAUGCUUUACACAUGCAAGUCGAACGGUAACAGGCCGCAAGGUGCUGACGAGUGGCGAACGGGUGAGUAAUGCAUCGGAACGUGCCCAGUCGUGGGGGAUAACUACUCGAAAGAGUAGCUAAUACCGCAUACGAUCUAUGGAUGAAAGCGGGGGACCGUAAGGCCUCGCGCGAUUGGAGCUGCCGCUGUCAGAUUAGGUAGUUGGUGGGGUAAAGGCUCACCAAGCCAACGAUCUGUAGCUGGUCUGAGAGGACAACCAGCCACACUGGGACUGAGACACGGCCCAGACUCCUACGGGAGGCAGCAGUGGGGAAUUUUGGACAAUGGGCGCAAGCCUGAUCCAGCAAUGCCGCGUGCAGGAAGAAGGCCUUCGGGUUGUAAACUGCUUUUGUACGGAACGAAACGGCUCUGGUUAAUACCCGGGGCUAAUGACGGUACCGUAAGAAUAAGCACCGGCUAACUACGUG
This 482-nucleotide ribosomal RNA is filed under the name uncultured bacterium. RNAcentral describes it as "partial 16S ribosomal RNA". It matches the Rfam family "Bacterial small subunit ribosomal RNA", at positions 30 to 507 of the family's 1533-position model. The record is from RNAcentral.